UACGAAGGGGGCUAGCGUUGUUCGGAAUUACUGGGCGUAAAGCGCACGUAGGCGGGUUGUUAAGUCAGGGGUGAAAUCCUGGAGCUCAACUCCAGAACUGCCUUUGAUACUGGCAACCUAGAGACUGGAAGAGGUUAGUGGAAUUCCCAGUGUAGAGGUGAAAUUCGUAGAUAUUGGGAAGAACACCAGUGGCGAAGGCGGCUAACUGGACCAGCACUGACGCUGAGGUGCGAAAGCGUGGGGAGCAAACAGG
Molecule: ribosomal RNA, 253 nt
Filed under: uncultured bacterium
Lineage: Bacteria
Description: partial 16S ribosomal RNA
Rfam family: Bacterial small subunit ribosomal RNA
Source: RNAcentral